GACGAACGCUGGCGGCGUGCUUAACACAUGCAAGUCGAACGGAAAGGCCCUGCUUUUGUGGGGUGCUCGAGUGGCGAACGGGUGAGUAACACGUGAGUAACCUGCCCUUGACUUUGGGAUAACUUCAGGAAACUGGGGCUAAUACCGGAUAGGAGCUCCUGCUGCAUGGUGGGGGUUGGAAAGUUUCGGCGGUUGGGGAUGGACUCGCGGCUUAUCAGCUUGUUGGUGGGGUAGUGGCUUACCAAGGCUUUGACGGGUAGCCGGCCUGAGAGGGUGACCGGCCACAUUGGGACUGAGAUACGGCCCAGACUCCUACGGGAGGCAGCAGUGGGGAAUAUUGCACAAUGGGCGGAAGCCUGAUGCAGCAACGCCGCGUGCGGGAUGACGGCCUUCGGGUUGUAAACCGCUUUCGCCUGUGACGAAGCGUGAGUUACGGUAAUGGGUAAAGAAGCACCGGCUAACUACGUGCCAGCAGCCGCGGUGAUACGUAGGGUGCGAGCGUUGUCCGGAUUUAUUGGGCGUAAAGGGCUCGUAGGUGGUUGAUCGCGUCGGAAGUGUAAUCUUGGGGCUUAACCCUGAGCGUGCUUUCGAUACGGGUUGACUUGAGGAAGGUAGGGGAGAAUGGAAUUCCUGGUGGAGCGGUGGAAUGCGCAGAUAUCAGGAGGAACACCAGUGGCGAAGGCGGUUCUCUGGGCCUUUCCUGACGCUGAGGAGCGAAAGCGUGGGGAGCGAACAGGCUUAGAUACCCUGGUAGUCCACGCUGUAAACGGUGGGUACUAGGUGUGGGGUCCAUUCCACGGGUUCCGUGCCGUAGCUAACGCUUUAAGUACCCCGCCUGGGGAGUACGGCCGCAAGGCUAAAACUCAAAGGAAUUGACGGGGCCCCGCACAAGCGGCGGAGCAUGCGGAUUAAUUCGAUGCAACGCGUAGAACCUUACCUGGGUUUGACAUGGAUCGGGAGCGCUCAGAGAUGGGUGUGCCUCUUUUGGGGUCGGUUCACAGGUGGUGCAUGGCUGUCGUCAGCUCGUGUCGUGAGAUGUUGGGUUAAGUCCCGCAACGAGCGCAACCCUUGUUCACUGUUGCCAGCACGUUAUGGUGGGGACUCAGUGGAGACCGCCGGGGUCAACUCGGAGGAAGGUGGGGAUGACGUCAAGUCAUCAUGCCCCUUAUGUCCAGGGCUUCACGCAUGCUACAAUGGCUGGUACAGAGAGUGGCGAGCCUGUGAGGGUGAGCGAAUCUCGGAAAGCCGGUCUCAGUUCGGAUUGGGGUCUGCAACUCGACCUCAUGAAGUCGGAGUCGCUAGUAAUCGCAGAUCAGCAACGCUGCGGUGAAUACGUUCCCGGGGCU
This 1346-nucleotide ribosomal RNA is filed under the name uncultured bacterium. Its description in RNAcentral is "bacterial SSU rRNA". It matches the Rfam family "Bacterial small subunit ribosomal RNA", at positions 28 to 1381 of the family's 1533-position model. The record is from RNAcentral.